RNAcentral lists this ribosomal RNA (378 nucleotides) under Schmidingerella taraikaensis. RNAcentral's name for it is "partial Bacterial small subunit ribosomal RNA". It matches the Rfam family "Bacterial small subunit ribosomal RNA", at positions 341 to 711 of the family's 1533-position model. The record is from RNAcentral. Lineage: Eukaryota; Ciliophora; Spirotrichea; Tintinnida; Rhabdonellidae.
ACGGGAGGCAGCAGUGGGGAAUAUUGCACAAUGGGGGAAACCCUGAUGCAGCCAUGCCGCGUGUGUGAAGAAGGCCUUCGGGUUGUAAAGCUCUUUCGCAAGAGAAGAAACGGUAUAGGUUAAUAGCCUAUGCUAAUGACGGUAUCUUGACAAGAAGCACCGGCUAACUACGUGCCAGCAGCCGCGGUAAUACGUAGGGUCCGAGCGUUAUCCGGAAUUAUUGGGUUUAAAGGGUCCGUAGGCGGGUCUUUAAGUCAGUGGUGAAAGCCUGCAGCUUAACUGUAGAAUUGCCAUUGAUACUGGAGACCUUGAGUACACUUGAAGUAAGCGGAAUGUGUCAUGUAGCGGUGAAAUGCUUAGAUAUGACCCAGAACACCG